GGUCUCCGUAGUUUAGUCGGGAAAACACCCGAGUAUGAUCCGGUAGAACUCGGGUUCGAACCCCGCUGAAAGCA
Molecule: non-coding RNA, 74 nt
Organism: Henosepilachna vigintioctopunctata
Lineage: Eukaryota; Metazoa; Arthropoda; Insecta; Coleoptera; Coccinellidae
Source: the annotation of a GenBank genome assembly